UACGUAGGGGGCGAGCGUUGUCCGGAUUCAUUGGGCGUAAAGCGCGUGUAGGCGGCCCGGUAAGUCCGCUGUGAAAGUCCAGGGCUCAACCCUGGGAUGCCGGUGGAUACUGUCGGGCUCGAGUCCGGAAGAGGCGAGUGGAAUUCCUGGUGUAGCGGUGAAAUGCGCAGAUAUCAGGAGGAACACCAAUGGCGAAGGCAGCUCGCUGGGACGUGACUGACGCUGAGACGCGAAAGCGUGGGGAGCAAACAGG
This 253-nucleotide ribosomal RNA is filed under the name uncultured bacterium. RNAcentral's name for it is "partial 16S ribosomal RNA". It matches the Rfam family "Bacterial small subunit ribosomal RNA", at positions 524 to 776 of the family's 1533-position model. The record is from RNAcentral.